AAGAACAGAGAAGUGAAAACAAAAGUAGGGUUCGUCCUCGUUUCAAAUCAAAAAAUUUAGAAGAAAAUUAGAGUUCAUACAAAUCGUCAAAUCUAUGGAAGAAGAACAGUUGUUGUUAUGAUUUUUUUUUCUUCAAAACUUUUACUUUAAAUCUCCAGAUCUAAGUACUUAAGAGUGAAAUCGAAGAAAUAAGAAGAGAAAUCGUCCAUUUAGAAUCGAUUGUUUGAUGUAGACUCGUUCAAUUUCAAUUUCGUUGUAUUUUCUACAUCUCGGUCUCUGUUCUUCAACACCCCUAUAUUUUUUUUCAUUCAUUCUAUUUUCAUCCACUGAUUAUUUUCUUGAAAUAAAUUAGAGGAAUAUAAUCUUCUUGUGUUGUCUAAUUUAUAUUAAUUGUUUAAUUUCACUUUUUUAGUUUCCUAUUUUUGCAGAAUUGAAGCCUCGAAUCUCAAACGUUGUGUCUAUGCCAGUUGAACCGCAGAUUUCCUUGCUCCCUUACUGUUAAUGAAUUGGCUGUUGGAAAGGUGCUACAUGCAUUAAAUGGAAAGUGAAAGUGAAGAUGAUGGUCUUGAUUUGUACAUGUUGAUCCGGUGGUGAAGAUGACCCAGGCACCUUUUCCACCCAAGGAGCAGAAAGGAAGCUUUCAAAGAAGGAGUUGAAGGAAAAGGAACUUGCAGAACUUGAUGCUGUUUUGGCUGAGCUAGGAAUUGACACAUUAUGCGUUACUGAGAACCUGAAUUACAUCUUGAAUCUGUCGACCAAACUAAUAUUUGAAUCUCAGUCUAUCAAUUAUUUUAUUUGUUGGUUAAGUAAUUACAAUAACGAAAGCAACUGUCAAUUGAACAACCUUAUACUCGUAA
Long non-coding RNA from Papaver somniferum (opium poppy), 857 nucleotides. RefSeq lists it as uncharacterized. The record is from RefSeq and is a predicted model, not a curated record. The transcript is spliced from 3 exons. Lineage: Eukaryota; Viridiplantae; Streptophyta; Magnoliopsida; Ranunculales; Papaveraceae.